GACGAACGCUGGCGGCGUGCCUAAUACAUGCAAGUAGAACGCUGAAGGAGGAGCUUGCUUCUCUGGAUGAGUUGCGAACGGGUGAGUAACGCGUAGGUAACCUGCCUGGUAGCGGGGGAUAACUAUUGGAAACGAUAGCUAAUACCGCAUAAUAGUAGAUGUUGCAUGACAUUUGCUUAAAAGGUGCAAUUGCAUCACUACCAGAUGGACCUGCGUUGUAUUAGCUAGUUGGUGAGGUAACGGCUCACCAAGGCGACGAUACAUAGCCGACCUGAGAGGGUGAUCGGCCACACUGGGACUGAGACACGGCCCAGACUCCUACGGGAGGCAGCAGUAGGGAAUCUUCGGCAAUGGACGGAAGUCUGACCGAGCAACGCCGCGUGAGUGAAGAAGGUUUUCGGAUCGUAAAGCUCUGUUGUAAGUGAAGAACGAGUGUGAGAGUGGAAAGUUCAC
This 453-nucleotide ribosomal RNA is filed under the name Streptococcus mitis. RNAcentral describes it as "bacterial SSU rRNA". It matches the Rfam family "Bacterial small subunit ribosomal RNA", at positions 28 to 467 of the family's 1533-position model. Lineage: Bacteria; Bacillati; Bacillota; Bacilli; Lactobacillales; Streptococcaceae. The record is from RNAcentral.